This is a long non-coding RNA of Sceloporus undulatus (fence lizard), 693 nucleotides long. RefSeq lists it as uncharacterized. The record is from RefSeq and is a predicted model, not a curated record. The transcript is spliced from 3 exons. Lineage: Eukaryota; Metazoa; Chordata; Lepidosauria; Squamata; Phrynosomatidae.
UCGAACCCUGAUCCUAACUCAAACCACUACAUCAUACCAGCCUUUUCAUUCAAAGGGUCACCAUAAAUCCAAGUUCACUUGAUGGCAGUUAACAACAAAAGGAUGUUGUUUAGAAGGAUGAUAUUCUUAUGUAUGUUAAUUAUUACCAAGCCAGUUAAAGAGUUGCAAAAAGAUCAAGUGGAUUCCUAGCCGAACAUUCAAACUACAACACCACACUGGCUCUCUGCAACCCUAUUACCAUGAGGAGGGGGAAAAAGAUUGGCAUCCUGUUGGCAAUGGCAUGAAUCAGACUUACACCAUAACAACUUACUCUUCGGCAGAAGUUGGAAUUCUCUACUGACCAUGCAGCAACCAAAAUCCUCUCUCCAGUGGAGCCCCACUGCCAAGUUAACUGAACUGAAACUGUUUUUUUCACUUUGAAUUCAUUUUGCAGCAAUUGAACUCCCAGUGACAAUCUUGGAUGGGCUUGUUUUGCAGGGGGCUGAGUAGCUGCUGUGUGAAACAAGUGACAUGUUCAAGCUCUGGGCCGGAAGUAAGGCAGGUGGUUGGAAGGACGUUGCACUAUAAACAUUGGGACUUUGAUCCCAGAGGUGGAGGAACUGUGUAUUGGAGGGAAAAGACUGCAAGUGCCCAGACUGCUGUUGGGGUUCAAGCAUUGAUGGAUAAUUUCAAGACCGCUGGAAAAUAAGGUAG